RNAcentral lists this small nucleolar RNA (134 nucleotides) under Nannospalax galili (Upper Galilee mountains blind mole rat). RNAcentral's name for it is "Small nucleolar RNA SNORA33 (ENSNGAG00000005032.1)". Lineage: Eukaryota; Metazoa; Chordata; Mammalia; Rodentia; Spalacidae. The record is from RNAcentral.
AUGGCAGGAACUUUAGAAGGUGAUCACAUCCACAAUCAAGAGCAGAGGGCAUAGAAAAGCUGGCAAUAGUAAGGCCAUGUUACAAGCCUUAACAGCACCUAUAGUCGUUAAGGUCCCUGAGAAUGGCUAUAAUA